AAAGUGCUGGGAUUAUAGGUGUGAGCCACUGUGCCUAGCCUCUUUUCUUCCUUCGAAUCUCCACUUAAAAAUUAUUCUGUUAGAAGGGCCUUCCCUGACCUCUCCAUCUGAGUAGCUCCCCCAUUAUUUCAUAUCACAGCUUCCUUUCUGUUGUAGUGUAUGUUGUAUUUGUUUGUUGGUUUUAUUUUGGUUUUAGAGACAGGGUCUCACUCUGUUACUGAGGCUGGAGUGCAGCGGCACAAUCAUAGCUCAUUCUUCCACCUCAGCCUCCCAAGUAGCUGAGACUACAGGUACGUGUCACAAUGCCCAAAAUGUAAAAAAAAAAAUUUUACAUUUUUUUUUUUUUGUAAAGAUGGUGUCUUACUGUGUUGCUCAGGCUGGUCUUGAACUCCUGGCCUCAAGACCAAUCCCACCUUGGCACUGGGAUUACAGGCAUGAGCCACCAUGCCUGGCCCUAUUUUGCGUUUUGUAGCCAUUUAUUUGCAUGCUUCUGUACUAGACUCCAGUUCCCAAUCCUUCCAUGUGAAAGAGCCCCCUUCCUUGCCACAGUUCUCACUCUCCCUGCAUGAUCCAUGGCUAAGGUCACCAAAAACCUCCUUAUCACCGCAUUCUGUGGUUCCUUUGUCUUCCUCCUUCUCUAUCCCUCUGCAAUUCUUGACACCUCCACCUUCUUGGAAUGCUUCUCUCCACUGUCCUGGUUCCUGUUUCCUUGUAUAUCUGUCCACCUCCCCUCCUAGCCCUUAACUGUGGACAAACCCAGGGUGAUUCCCCGCCAUCUGCCUUUCUUGUCAACCAUGAACUAAUAUAGCUAAAAAGCACAAUGCCCAAUAGUAAGAAAAGUAAGUGUCAAGUUGGCUAGGCCAUGGGAAAAAAACAUUAUGCUUUUUGUUUCUCUGCAAGUAUUUUUUCAAUGGGAUUAAUACUGAAAUCAGUAGACUUUGAGUAAAGCAGAUUACCUUGCAUAAUGUGGGUGGGCCUUAACCAAUCAGAUGAAGGCCAUAAGAGGAAAAGACUGAACUCCCCUGAGCAAGAAGAAAUUCUGCCUUUGGACUUGAACUGCAACACCAGCUCUUCCCUGGGUCUCCAACCUGCCAACCUAUCCCUGCAGAUUUUGGACUUGCCAGCCUUUACACUCAUGCGAGCCAAUUCCUUAAAAUUUAAUCUCUCUUUCUCAUUGGCUCUGUUUCUCUGGAGAACCCUGACUAAUAGAGGAGGUGCUAAAUAAAUCUUAACUUAAAAAAUCCCAAACUCUUUCCUUAGUGAAAUCUUUCUCACAGAUCCAUAUAUGUUGGGUCUGAGAGUCAGGACACCCAAGUUCUAGUUCCAGGUCUGCCACUUGCUGGCUUGAUGAUCUUAUCCAACUCCCCCGACAUCUGUAAACCUGCUCCUCCCUCAGUCUUUCCCAUCUCCAUAAACAGCAUCUCCAGCCAUCCAGAUAAUCAGAUUAAAACCCCAAGAAGUAAUUCUUCUAGAUUGCUAUCUUUCCUUUAUUCGCCAUGCCUGAUCAUCAGCAAAUUGUUUCGCUUCCACCUCCAGAAUGGAUCCAUGUGUCAGACUCCAUCACCUGGUCCAAGCACCACUGUCGCCUGCCUGGGUGAUGCCUCAGACUCGUUGCUUAUCUUCCAGCUUCCGUUUUGCCCCCACAAUCCACAGCAGCCAGGGUGAAUUUUUAGAAAUAUAGAUCAGAUCAUAGCACUUGUACUGGUUUCCUAUUGCUGCUAUAACAAAUUAUAACAUAGUUGCUCCAAAUAACACAGGCUUAUUAUUUUACAGUUCUAGAGGCCAGAAGUCUAAAAUAGGUUGUUAGGGCUGCAUUCCUUCCAGAUACCUUGGUAAGAUGUUUCCUUGCCUUUUCCACCUUCUAGAAGCCACUUGCAUUCCCUGGUUCACAGCCCCUUACUUGCAUUCCUUUGACCUCCACUUCUGUCAUCACAUCUCCUCUGACUCUGACCCUCUUGUGCCCCUUUUAUAAGGACCCUUGUGCUUCCACAGUGCCCACCCAGAUAAGCCAAGAUAUUCUCCCCAUCUCAAGCCUUAAUAACAUCUGCAAAUCUCUUUGCCAUGUGAGGUAACAUAUUCACAGGUUUGGGGGAUUAGAAAGGAGACAUCUUUGGAGGGCUGUCUACCACAGCACUCUUAAAUCCUUCCAGUGGUUCCGCAUUGCUCUUAGAAUUAAAGCCAGACAUCUCACCUGACUUAUAAAACCCUCAGGAACCUAUUCCUGCUACCCCAUUCUGCUCACCUUGGCCUCCUUGCUGUUCCUUGAGUGCAUCAAACCUAAUCCUGCCCAAAACUCUUUCUUUUGCUUUUCCUUCUGCUCUGAGUGCCCCCCUCCCAGAUCUGCAUGUGGCCUGCCUGCUCCUUUUUGUCCUUUAGGUCUCAGCUCAAGGGUCACUCCUCAGAGAGGCUUUCUGUUGUCUAAAGUAGCUCUAGUAGAUCAUUUCAUAUUGUUUCCUUCAUAGUGCCUUAUCUCUGCUUGACGUUUUCUUGUUCACUGUAGAUUGAGCAUCUCUUAUCCAGAAUGCUUGGGACUAGAAGUGUUCCUGAUUUCAGAUUUGUAUGGAUUUUGGAAUAUUUGCAUUUUGCUGGUUCAGAAUUCCAAAUCCAGAAAUUGAAAAUCCAAAAUGCUCCAUUGAGCAUUUCCUUUGAACACCAUGUCUGUGCUCAAAAAGUUUUGGAUUUUGCAGCAUUUUGGAUUGCAGAUUUUUGAAUUUGUGAUGCUCAACCUAAAUUUGUUUGUUGUCUGCCUGCUGCAUAGGAAUGCAGGCAUCUUCAAAGCUGGGACCUUGUCUCUCCUGAAUCCCCAGCACUGGAAUUUAGCCAGUAUUUGCUGCUAUGUCAACAAGCCCCAGUUUUCUCAUUUUCCCAAUGGGUAUAAUAAUACCUUUUUUUCUCAUCAGGUUUCUUUGAGGAGCAAAUGAAAUAAUAAUAGCUACAGUUUUUAGUUGCCAAUGAUGAGUUAAGCACUGCACCAGGAACUUUAUGCUUAAGAUGUGUUGUUCAUGUCUUAGUUCAAGGCCAUGUGGUUGCAAGGAACAGAAACCCUCUCAAGCCAGCUCAAGGAAAAGGAGGUUUAUUGGAAGGUUAUAACAGACAAUCUGGUAAACAUCCAAGGAGAGGGUAAAAUGUGGGAGAGACAGGCUGCCUCUCACCUGCAUCACUCCUUCCAGGGGCAGCACAGUUCCUUAUCACCACUUCUCUCUGUGCAGCUGGGCUUUCUCUCUGAAGACUAGCUGCUUCUGCUUCCACAUGGUCACUCAUGGCUCCAAAUGGCCUCAACUCUCUGUGAGCUUAUGGCGUAGCUGCUUCGUAGCUACUGUUUCUCAGAGUCCUAAACCCCAUUCCAGGGAGAGAGAGUCCAGUUGCCCUGGAUUGAACACCUUGUCAACCCCUGGUGCCAUCACCUGUGGACAAGAUGACGAGGUCAUGAGCCGUGUGUGGCUGCCCAGCCACAUGCCCUCAGAAGGGACUGUGGAUGGGACACAAUCCCAAAGAAAGAACUAUGACUGGGCAGGCACCCCAAAACAUGUCCGUGGUAGUGCAAAGCACUGAACACACACUCCAGCUCUCAACUGACGUGAGUUCCAUCUUUUCCAACCACCUUUUCAUCUACUAGCUCAGAGUCCUCUGGCUCCAUAAUAAAUACAUCUCCAGCUUGGUUCUUAUCUUCACACCAGUCAAUACUUUAAGUUGCCUGCGGCAUAUUUCCAACACGUUUAUCCUACUAUUUCUUCAAAUUCAACCUAGGAAAAGCUGGAUUACUCUUCCUUCAGAAACUGGCUCCUUUCUGUCAAGUUCCUGCCUCUGACACAACCUGACUCUUCCAGGCAGCCUCAUGCUGAGCCCUUGGAUCUGUGAUCGGCCAUCUCAGGGCCUUGGGAAGAGGUCUUUGCCUCCCUGUCAUCUGCCUCCACUGUUGGUCUCCAUGUUAACACAUGGCACAGCAGAGCAAGACAGCUGAGGUACUUUGGAGUCAGACAAACCUGGGUUUGAUCCCCGCUCUGCCUCUUAAUCUUGUUUUGGUUUUUGGUUUGUUUUUGUUUGUUUUGAGACUGGGUCUCACUCCGUCACACAGGCUGGAGGUUAGUGUCACCACCAUGGCUCACUGCAGCCUUGAUUUUCCGGGCUCAAAUGAUCCUCCCGCCUUGGCCUCCCAAGGAGCUGGGUCUACCGACACAUGCCACCACAUCUGGCUAAUUUUUGUAUUUUGUGUGUGUGUGUGUGAAGACAGGAUCUCAUAUUGCCUAGGCUGGUCUUGAACUCCUGGGCUCAAGCAGUCCUCCCUCCUCAGCCUCCCAAAGUGCUGUGAUUACAGGUCUGAGGCACCGUGCCCUGCUCCUUUUAAUUUUGUGAUCUUGGCAAAUCUGUUUCUCUCUCUCUCUCUUUUUUUUUUUUUUUUUUUGAGACGGAGUCUUGCUCUGUCACCCAGGCUGGAGUAUAGUGUCGUGAUCUUGGCUCACUGCAACCUCCACCUCCCAGGUUCAAGCGAUUCUCCUGCCUCAGCUUCCCAAGUAGCUGGGACAGGCAUGCACCACCACGCCUGGCUAAUUUUUUUGUGUGUAUUUUUAGUAGACAUAGGGUUUCCCCACAUUGGCCAGGCUGUUCUCAAACUCCUGAUCUCAGGUGAUCCACCUGCCUCGGGCUCCCAAAGUGCUGAGAUUAUAGGCGUGAGCCACUACACCUGGCCAAAUCUCUCGAACUUGAUAGGUUAAGUGUCCCUGUAUGUCCAGUGGUGAUAAUUAUAGUUUCUGCCUUACAGGGUUGUCAUAAGAACUGAUAAAAUGCAUGUAAAGCCUGCAGAUCCACAUUUUCUCAGUGAUUGAUUAGUUUCCAGCAAUGUGCCAAGAAAACAAAGAUAAGUAAGAUAUGCUCCCUGGUUUUAAUAAACCUGAAGUUUCUUGACAAGUCUGUGUCAAACAUGGUAAUACCUUUCUUACUCCCUGCCUGACGAGGCCCUUCUGGCAAUACAUUAUUAAAAUUAAUGGUUAAUUGUAUUAUAUAACAUUAAUUAUAUGUAAGUAUAUAUUAUAUGUAAUAUGUAAGUGUAUAUUAUAUAUAAUAUAUAAUUAUAUAUAACUAGUCUCUAGUUAUAAGAGCAAUUUGUGAUUUUUUAGAAAACACAGGGGAGGGUUAGAAUCACCCUAAUUCCUCCAUUGUGGUAGAAUUCAUUCCUUCCAGAUAUGCUGCUUGGCAACGAUUAUAUCACACAUCACAUACGUCUGGAUCAAGUGUUACUUUGCAAGUAUUCAGCUAUGGCAUUAAAGAUCCUUUCAAGAACCCUUUUGAAUGGCUUCUCUAGGUGACACAGCAAAUGGAUUCCUAAGUAUGCAUCCAUUCUCCCGGGUAAACCACGAGUCUCAAAAAGUAGGCAGCAGGCUGGACCCGGUGGCACACGCAUGGAAUCCCAGCGCUUUGGGAGGCCAAGGCAGGAAGUUGCUUGAGGCCAGGAGUGCAAAACCAACAUGGCGAGACUCUGUCUGUAUAAGAAAUAAAAUAAAUUAUCCAGG
Molecule: long non-coding RNA, 5507 nt
Filed under: Homo sapiens (human)
Lineage: Eukaryota; Metazoa; Chordata; Mammalia; Primates; Hominidae
Description: HSALNT0291456
Source: RNAcentral